CGCAUCAGCCAUGGCGCGGUGAAUACGUUCCCGGGCCUUGUACACACCGCCCGUCAAGCCAUGAAAUCGGGGGGUGGCUUGAAGUACGCUUACCGCAAGGGGCGUCCUAAGGCAAAACCGAUAAUUGGGGCUAAGUCGUAACAAGGUACC
Molecule: ribosomal RNA, 150 nt
Filed under: uncultured bacterium
Lineage: Bacteria
Description: partial 16S ribosomal RNA
Rfam family: Bacterial small subunit ribosomal RNA
Source: RNAcentral